This is a long non-coding RNA of Arvicanthis niloticus (Nile rat), 434 nucleotides long. RefSeq lists it as uncharacterized. Lineage: Eukaryota; Metazoa; Chordata; Mammalia; Rodentia; Muridae. The record is from RefSeq and is a predicted model, not a curated record.
GGGAUUCUGAGAGCCUUGGAUCAGCUUUGAUCCCAACAGAGAUAAUCCAAAAGAAAGGCCUCAGCUUUUUGGAGUAUACAGAAGUUAUGGCAAAGGCCUACAUUAGACUACUGAAUGCAGAUCAACAAAAAAAAGGCAAGGAAGGAGAAGAAAAGCUAUGGAUACUAUCAAGAUUGAUAAAAAGGAGAUUCAAACAGGAAAGACCUCCUGAAAGAAGAAAUAUCUCCUUAUUCAACAGACAGCUUGGUCAUUCAGUCCAAAUGAACUUAUAAAGACUAAAAUAUGCCUUUCACUUGAUCAGGCAUGAAGAAAGAAAAAUACAAAAUAAUAAUAUUUUCUAAUGAUAAUUUACCAAAGGCACACAUGCCUUGCUGACAUGAAAUGAAAAAUGGGUUUUCAUAAACCAUGUCUUAAUUUUAAUGUCAAGAUUAUAU